CCAACAGGGAUUGCCCUAGUAACGGCGAGUGAAGCGGCAACAGCUCAAAUUUGAAAUCUGGCGCAAGCCCGAGUUGUAAUUUGUAGAGGAUGCUUCUAGGUAGCGACCGGUCUAAGUUCCUUGGAACAGGACGUCAUAGAGGGUGAGAAUCCCGUAUGUGACCGGCCCGCACCUUCUACGUAGCUCCUUCGACGAGUCGAGUUGUUUGGGAAUGCAGCUCUAAAUGGGAGGUAAAUUUCUUCUAAAGCUAAAUACCGGCCAGAGACCGAUAGCGCACAAGUAGAGUGAUCGAAAGAUGAAAAGCACUUUGGAAAGAGAGUUAAAAAGCACGUGAAAUUGUUGAAAGGGAAGCGCUUACAACCAGACUUCUGGGCGGUGUUCCGCCGGUCUUUUGACCGGUCUACUCGCCGUCCCGAGGCCAACAUCAUCUGGGACCGCUGGAUAAGACCUUAGGAAUGUAGCUCCCCUCGGGGAGUGUUAUAGCCUGUGGUGAUGCAGCGCGUCUCGGGUGAGGUCCGCGCUUCGGCAAGGAUGUUGGCGUAAUGGUUGUCAGCGGCCCGUCUUGAAACACGGACCAAGGAGUCUAACAUCUAUGCGAGUGUUCGGGUGUCAAACCCCUACGCGUAAUGAAAGUGAACGGAGGUGGGAAGGGUAACCUGCACCAUCGACCGAUCCUGAUGUCCUCGGAUGGAUUUGAGUAAGAGCAUAGCUGUUGGGACCCGAAAGAUGGUGAACUAUGCCUGAAUAGGGUGAAGCCAGAGGAAACUCUGGUGGAGGCUCGCAGCGGUUCUGACGUGCAAAUCGAUCGUCAAAUUUGGGUA
This 821-nucleotide ribosomal RNA is filed under the name Ramularia lamii var. lamii. RNAcentral describes it as "eukaryotic LSU rRNA". It matches the Rfam family "Eukaryotic large subunit ribosomal RNA", at positions 65 to 917 of the family's 3401-position model. Lineage: Eukaryota; Fungi; Ascomycota; Dothideomycetes; Mycosphaerellales; Mycosphaerellaceae. The record is from RNAcentral.